GUCGAGGGGCAGCGGAGGCAGUAGCAAUACUGCCUGCCGGCGACCGGCGCACGGGUGAGUAACACGUAUGCAACCUACCCUUGUCAGGGGGAUAAGCCGGAGAGAUCCGGUCUAAUACCGCGUGACAUCGGGUUCUCGCAUGAGAAUUCGAUCAAAGGAUUUAUCCGGACAAGGAUGGGCAUGCGGCGCAUUAGCUAGUUGGCGGGGUAACGGCCCACCAAGGCGACGAUGCGUAGGGGUUCUGAGAGGAAGGUCCCCCACACUGGUACUGAGACACGGACCAGACUCCUACGGGAGGCAGCAGUGAGGAAUAUUGGUCAAUGGGCGCGAGCCUGAACCAGCCAAGUCGCGUGAGGGAAUAAGGUCCUAUGGAUUGUAAACCUCUUUUGUCGGGGAGCAAUGAGCGUCACGUGUGAUGCGUUGACAGUACCCGAAGAAAAAGCAUCGGCUAACUCCGUGCCAGCAGCCGCGGUAAUACGGAGGAUGCGAGCGUUAUCCGGAUUUAUUGGGUUUAAAGGGUGCGUAGGCGGGGAGCCCAACAUAAGCGGUAAAAUCGUGGGGCUCAACCCCAUCCCGCCGUCGAAACUGGUUUUCUUGAGUGGAUGAGAAGUAUGCGGAAUGCGUGGUGUAGCGGUGAAAUGCAUAGA
RNAcentral lists this ribosomal RNA (647 nucleotides) under uncultured bacterium. RNAcentral's name for it is "bacterial SSU rRNA". It matches the Rfam family "Bacterial small subunit ribosomal RNA", at positions 61 to 694 of the family's 1533-position model. The record is from RNAcentral.